GUCACCCAGUGAUCUUGUUGAAAUACAGAUUCUGAUUCAAUAAGUCCGAGGAGAGUCUUGAGAUUCUGCAUUUCUAACAAGCUCCCAGGUGAUGCCGA
This 98-nucleotide microRNA precursor is filed under the name Pteropus alecto (black flying fox). RNAcentral describes it as "mir-544 microRNA precursor family". It matches the Rfam family "mir-544 microRNA precursor family". Lineage: Eukaryota; Metazoa; Chordata; Mammalia; Chiroptera; Pteropodidae. The record is from Rfam by way of RNAcentral.